Molecule: ribosomal RNA, 1174 nt
Filed under: uncultured bacterium
Lineage: Bacteria
Description: bacterial SSU rRNA
Rfam family: Bacterial small subunit ribosomal RNA
Source: RNAcentral
CGGCGUGCCUAAUACAUGCAAGUCGAACGCACUGACGUCGACAGAAGGUGCUUGCACUGGAAGUUGAUUGACGUGAGUGGCGGACGGGUGAGUAACACGUGGGUAACCUGCCCUUAAGCGGGGGAUAACAUUUGGAAACAGAUGCUAAUACCGCAUAAAAGUUGAGAUCACAUGGUCUUAAUUUGAAAGACGGCCUUUGGCUGUCACUUAAGGAUGGACCCGCGGCGUAUUAGCUAGUUGGUGAGAUAAUAGCCCACCAAGGCGAUGAUACGUAGCCGACCUGAGAGGGUAAUCGGCCACAUUGGGACUGAGACACGGCCCAAACUCCUACGGGAGGCAGCAGUAGGGAAUCUUCCACAAUGGACGAAAGUCUGAUGGAGCAACGCCGCGUGAGUGAAGAAGGUUUUCGGAUCGUAAAACUCUGUUGUUGGAGAAGAACAGGGACUAGAGUAACUGUUAGUCCUUUGACGGUAUCCAACCAGAAAGCCACGGCUAACUACGUGCCAGCAGCCGCGGUAAUACGUAGGUGGCAAGCGUUGUCCGGAUUUAUUGGGCGUAAAGCGAGCGCAGGCGGUUUCUUAAGUCUGAUGUGAAAGCCUUCGGCUUAACCGAAGAAGUGCAUCAGAUACUGGGAAACUUGAGUGCAGAAGAGGAAAGUGGAACUCCAUGUGUAGCGGUGAAAUGCGUAGAUAUAUGGAAGAACACCAGUGGCGAAGGCGGCUUUCUGGUCUGUAACUGACGCUGAGGCUCGAAAGUAUGGGGAGCGAACAGGAUUAGAUACCCUGGUAGUCCAUACCGUAAACGAUGAAUGCUAAGUGUUGGAGGGUUUCCGCCCUUCAGUGCUGCAGCUAACGCAUUAAGCAUUCCGCCUGGGGAGUACGACCGCAAGGUUGAAACUCAAAGGAAUUGACGGGGGCCCACACAAGCGGUGGAGCAUGUGGUUUAAUUCGAAGCUACGCGAAGAACCUUACCAGGUCUUGACAUCUAGCGCCAAUCCUAGAGAUAGGACGUUCCCUUCGGGGACGCUAAGACAGGUGGUGCAUGGUUGUCGUCAGCUCGUGUCGUGAGAUGUUGGGUUAAGUCCCGCAACGAGCGCAACCCUUAUGAUUAGUUGCCAGCAUUUAGUUGGGCACUCUAAUCAGACUGCCGGUGACAAACCGGAGGAAGGUGGGGA